CAUAUGAUCACUGGAGUUAAGCAACAUUGAGCCUGGUCAGUACUGGGAUAGGUAACCACUUGGGAAUAUUAGGUACUGUAA
Molecule: non-coding RNA, 81 nt
Organism: Acanthosepion pharaonis
Lineage: Eukaryota; Metazoa; Mollusca; Cephalopoda; Sepiida; Sepiidae
Source: the annotation of a GenBank genome assembly